GUGGCCUUAGCUCAACAGGCAGAGCAGCGGAUUGUGGAUCCGCAGGUUAUGGGUUCGACCCCCAUAGGCCACCCCA
RNAcentral lists this transfer RNA (76 nucleotides) under Chloroflexota bacterium. RNAcentral's name for it is "Chloroflexi bacterium tRNA-His". It matches the Rfam family "tRNA". From Rfam's summary of the family: Transfer RNA (tRNA) molecules are approximately 80 nucleotides in length. Their secondary structure includes four short double-helical elements and three loops (D, anti-codon, and T loops). Further hydrogen bonds mediate the characteristic L-shaped molecular structure. tRNAs have two regions of fundamental functional importance: the anti-codon, which is responsible for specific mRNA codon recognition, and the 3' end, to which the tRNAs corresponding amino acid is attached (by aminoacyl-tRNA synthetases). tRNAs cope with the degeneracy of the genetic code in two manners: having more than one tRNA (with a specific anti-codon) for a particular amino acid; and 'wobble' base-pairing, i.e. permitting non-standard base-pairing at the 3rd anti-codon position. RNAcentral also lists the same sequence under 1 other name. Lineage: Bacteria; Bacillati; Chloroflexota. The record is from RNAcentral.